AAGUCGUAACAAGGUUUCCGUAGGUGAACCUGCGGAAGGAUCAUUACAGUGUUAGGCUUCGGCCUCAUGCACACUCCCUUGUUUAACCUCCGGUUUCUUUGGCGAUGUCAUGGACUCGUCAAACGUUAACUCUGGUAAUGUGAUACCGCCCGAGUGCGAUUGAAUUAUCAAAACUUUCAACAACGGAUCUCUUGGUUCCA
This 200-nucleotide unclassified non-coding RNA is filed under the name fungal sp. Its description in RNAcentral is "partial internal transcribed spacer region". The stretch from base 1 to 46 matches the Rfam family "Eukaryotic small subunit ribosomal RNA", at positions 1786 to 1831 of the family's 1831-position model. The record is from RNAcentral. Lineage: Eukaryota; Fungi.